RNAcentral lists this ribosomal RNA (251 nucleotides) under uncultured bacterium. RNAcentral's name for it is "partial 16S ribosomal RNA". It matches the Rfam family "Bacterial small subunit ribosomal RNA", at positions 524 to 776 of the family's 1533-position model. The record is from RNAcentral.
UACAGAGGGGCAAGCGUGUUCGGAAUUACUGGGCGUAAAGGGCGCGUAGGCGGCCUUCUAAGUCGAGCGUGAAAUCCCCGGGCUCAACCCGGGAACUGCGUCCGAUACUGGAAGGCUUGAAUCCGGGAGAGGGAUGCGGAAUUCCAGGUGUAGCGGUGAAAUGCGUAGAUAUCUGGAGGAACACCGGUGGUGUAGGCGGCUCUCUGGACCGUAACUGACGCUGAGGCACGAAAGCGUGGGUAGCAAACAGG